Gekko japonicus is the source of this 454-nucleotide long non-coding RNA. RefSeq lists it as uncharacterized. NCBI's taxonomy places the organism in Eukaryota, Metazoa, Chordata, Lepidosauria, Squamata, Gekkonidae. The transcript has 3 exons. The record is from RefSeq and is a predicted model, not a curated record.
GUUUUUCCCCCUAGCUCCUUUGGUGCAAGAAACAGAGCAGAGCUUCCUUGACGGCUGACGCCCCACUAAAACAUGGUGUGACUUAUAAUAGGCGCCUGCCGCUAUGUGGCUAGGAAAAUAACAGCCUCCCUGCGCGGAGAGACUCUGGGGGAGCCCAUAUCCGUGUCCAAGAGUCGGGUCUGCCAACCUGGCAACCAAAACCCCACAACAGGCAGCCAAAACCACACAAUAAUGCCCCCACCUACACACUGCUCUGUGGACCAGAGGUGCCCCCCUCGAUCUGCUUUAGAAGUUGAGGCCCGGAAGCCUCCUACAUGAUGGAACAAAAUGGAGGACGGAAAGCAGCGAAUGACGGUUCAUUUGCCAACUCCUGGAUAGGCAGGAACUGAGUGGACCUGAGAAUCUGUCUGCCUCUCUCGCCUCCCCGUUUAACUCCGAAAAUAAAAUGCUUCCC